Long non-coding RNA from Lycium ferocissimum, 239 nucleotides. RefSeq lists it as uncharacterized. The transcript is spliced from 3 exons. The record is from RefSeq and is a predicted model, not a curated record. NCBI's taxonomy places the organism in Eukaryota, Viridiplantae, Streptophyta, Magnoliopsida, Solanales, Solanaceae.
AGGCACCAUGCAAUAAAUGCAUGCCUUGCUCCUUUAUAUUGUGGAAGGGAUGCAUGUCAUCACAGAGGAGGGAAUUGGGAGCCGUAAAGCUGGAUUGCGUCCAAUUUAGGCAAUGAUACUGGAGCCAAGCAUUGAUAUUGCCAUUGUGAAUGCUGGGAUGCGUGUCUGCCUUGAAGAGAAAGACAAGAAAUAGGUUUCUAGAGAAACAGAAUAUACUGAUGAUGCGCCAAUGCCACCCA